RNAcentral lists this long non-coding RNA (3242 nucleotides) under Homo sapiens (human). Its description in RNAcentral is "HSALNT0331923". Lineage: Eukaryota; Metazoa; Chordata; Mammalia; Primates; Hominidae. The record is from RNAcentral.
AGAUGCUCCCCGGCCUGGCUCCGAGUAACUGCGAGCUGGAGGCGCGGCUGCUCUCUCGGGCGGACCUCAGCUCUGCGAACCCUGUGGCUGCCGGAGCACUGAGCGCCCUGCCCGGAGUCCCGCGGAGCCUGGCGAGGAGGGGUCGCUGCAUCCCGAGGGCCAGCCCUGAGCCGGGAGAUGAAACAGCUGUCAUGGAAAUAUUUUUUAAAUCUCAUACUGGUCAAACGGUGUAAACUUUGCUGGAAGGAACCUUACUCAGAGGGCCAAUCACCUGCUUCUCUAGAGUUCUCAAGCUCUCCUGUGAGCACCAGGUUGAGCUGCAGAAAGCCAGAACCAGCUCAGAAACUGAGAAAUGGACAUGAAGAUGCCCAGGAAACAUCUCUACAGCAUCCCUAACUGGGGGUUGAUCCAUUCAUUUCCAGACACAGAGAACAGAGUCACAUUCUGCUGUUUCCAUAUGUACCAUUUUAGUAAGACUUCUUGGGGCACAAGGCAGGAAGUUGGGGACAAUAUAUUUGUCUGCACCAAGGCAGCCUGAGAAGAGAGAAGUGAAUACUCCUGGGGUUAUUCUAUAUUAUUCACUUAAUAUUCUAAGUGAGUCCUCUAGGGGUACCUGAGACAUGGAGUAUGAAAGUACACAUUCACAAAAGUACCAGCUUUAAAACUAGAUUAUCUCUACUAUUCAAAAACACCAAGGAAAGGCCACACAAUGGAGACAAAGUGCAUCUGAGAUCUAGCAAAUUUCCCUGUUGGCCACAUACUGAUAAUGAUGUAUUAAAAUCAAUUCUAUACUGUGGGGUACUUAUUUGACAUUAAUAGGUACCAUGGUGGUUUAACAUAGUUGCUGCCCAGAGAAAACGCCGCACACUCACCUACACUAAAAUGAAGUCUGAGUCAGCUGCCUCCCCUCCGCCAUCCCUUCCAAAGCCAAUGGUUGAAAGUCACAGAAGUCCCUCUGCUGCCACCUAGUGACGACAAUGUGAAUACAACUACACAGCCUCCUGGGAAAGAAGUUUUGAACCACGUUUGCUUCUAAAGGAAGCCUGUAAUUACCUCUGAGUGCUCUAUUUUGGCUACAAUUUAAAAACAUAUAUAUUUUAAAACUCUAUAAACUCUUAUGCAUAUCCCUUUUUAAGAAUCUGACCUGUAAUGGAUGUAGCCUCACUUUCAAGAACCUAAAAGCUAUGCCCCCAAUUCAGGGAGUAGAACAGACAGGCUUAAGAACAGUGCCUAAAAAUGCCACUAAAUUUAUCUUUAAAAUGCCUGUGGUUCCUUAGCACUUGAAUUCCGUUAUGCCCCUGGGUAUAGUCACCUGGAUGUUAGGGGCUGUCAAAAUUCAGCCCUCAGUUGGUGAUCAGUAGGUUUUCCCUUUAAGUGGUUUCUGAAAGGAUUUUUUUUAAAAAUCUUGAAAUUCUCAUGUCUGGAUGAUGUUUCCAGUUUUGUGGAAGAAUAAAAGAAAAGGGACAUGAAAUUCUGGCUCCCUGGGGGCAGUGGCUGUGUCUUAUUAAUCUCUGUGCCCAUUGUACCAACACCGGUCAGUCACAGCAUGUACUCAACCAAUGCUGAUGAAUGCAGAGGGGCGAGGGGCUGGCACGCUCUUGACCCCUUAUAGGGGCUGCGUCGAUGGCCAGGGUUCAAUGGGAACUUUCUGGUACAGUCUUGCUCUGCCAAUCUUUCAAAUUAAGUGCAGCACAAUUGGAAGCCUCACAUUCUCAUAGACGGGUUGAGGAGGGCAUUAGGGGCAGAAAGGCUCACAUAAGGCCUGAGCGUGAGGUUUCCUGCCCAGCACUGCUGUGCCAUUGCAGCCCACCUUCUUCUCACCUUUCCUUCCACACCACGGCGCGGCAGGUGCAGAAACCGUGCUGGGAUUGAGGCCCUAGAGGCUGACUACAGGUCUUGGGGGCAAAACAUCUGGACACACAGCUGAAGAUGAGCCAAGUAUAUUAGUCAGGGUUCUCUAGAGAAACAGAACCAACAAGAUAGAGAGAUGCAGAGAGACAGAGGGACAGACAGACAGAUUUAAGUAACUGACCCAUAAAAUCUUGGAGGCUUGGCAAGUCCAAAAUCUGCAAGAUGGAAGUGGGCUGGCACAUUGGAGACUCAAGGAAGAGUUGCACGUUGAGUUCAAAGGCCGGCUGCUGGCAGAAUUCCUUUCUGCUCAGGUGAAGUCGGUCUCUGUUCUAUUAAGACCUUCAACUGAUUGGAUGAGGUCCACCCAUAUUAUGAAGGGUCAUUUGCUUUACUCAACAUCUACUCAUCUAAAUAUUAAUCUCAUUGAAAAAAAACCCCAGAAACAUCCAGAAUAGCAUUUGACCAAAUGUUUGGACAAUGCAGCCUAGCCACAUUAACACACAAAAUUAACUGUCACAGCAAGACACCAGGGAAGCAUUGGAAGAUGUUAGCGGCUGUCAUUGAAAUGGGUGCCGUCAGGUGGACGGCAGCCAUCCAUCGGGCAAGAGCGGGGCAGCUGGAAGGGCCCUCCCCUCCCGUUUGCUUUCUGCUCUUCACAGCUCACGGAUAGAGGAAUUUUCUCAGCACAUUUCCCAGGAGGAGUUUGGCACCACCAUUUCUUGAAAACAGAUGUCUGCAGGGAUGUGUGUGUGCCUGUGAAUAUGAAGUCCAGAGCCUGGGACUGAGAACAGCAAGGGGAACAGGUGGCCACAGGGGAGUUGCCAGAUUGCUGACUUAAGAUGUGCUCCCAGGGCUGCACUGGUGUCGGUCGUGAGAGCGAUCACGGUUUGUGCAACGUCUGAACUUUCUAUCAACUUAUGGUUUAAUCAAUUUGCUGUUUACUCCAGCUAUUUGCAACCUCUCCUCAGUUACUUGGUGUUCAGCAGUGUAAUAUAUCUUCAUGUGUGAAUAUAAAUAUACUAUUUAGUGGAAACUAAAAGGAAUUGUGGAGGAAGAAUUUUUUUGGAUAAUUUUAUGUUUUCAUAAUGUAAAAAUUAAAGAUAUUUGAAGAGUUGAGUAUGUCAGUUUUGGGGAUGCAAGAGAAUGACUUCGGGACUACCAUAAUAUUUAAAAUCAUCACUACUCUUUCUUUCCACCUAAGUCUCAUAGCAAAAGAGGAAAUUUACUUCAGUCUCUUUCUGUAGCAGAACAUUAUCGUGCUGUAUUCCUGUGUUCACUUAUCUGCGCUGGAUUGUGAGUCCUUACAGAGAGAAAUUGUUAUGUGCUAUGUUCCCAACACCUGCACAUUAUAGGUGGUCACUAAGUGCUUGAUGAAUAAAUGAAUGAGGGAA